Molecule: small RNA, 531 nt
Filed under: Pongo abelii (Sumatran orangutan)
Lineage: Eukaryota; Metazoa; Chordata; Mammalia; Primates; Hominidae
Description: processed transcript
Source: RNAcentral
GUAGACCACUUUAUGUUGGCAUAGUCAAGAAGGUAGUGCCAGUCCCCUUUACCCUGGCUGCCAGGCUUUGUCCAGGGAUCUGAAACCACUUUGCAGUCGACAUACUCGGAUACCAGCGCUCAGCCCACCUGUGAUUAUGGGUAUGGAACUUGGAACUCUGGGACAAAUAGAGGCUACGAGGGCUAUGGCUAUGGCUAUGGCUAUGGCCAGGAUAACACCACCAACUAUGGAAUUAACCAGCGCUUAGAUAUGGUGCCGCAUUUGGAGACAGACAUGAUGCAAGGAGGCGUGUACGGCUCAGGUGGAGAAAGAACAUCAUCCCCGAGUACGGCAUGUUCCAGGGCAUGCGAGGUGGGGGCGCCUUCCCAGGCGGCUCCCGCUUUGGUUUCGGGUUUGGCAAUGGCAUGAAGCAGAUGAGGCGGACCUGGAAGACCUGGACCACAGCCGACUUCCGGACCAAGAAGAAGAAGAGAAAGCAGGGCGGCAGUCCUGACGAGCCAGAUAGCAAAGCCACCCGCACGGACUGCUCGG